UACAGAGGUCUCAAGCGUUGUUCGGAUUCAUUGGGCGUAAAGGGCGCGUAGGCGGCGGGGUAAGUCGGGUGUGAAGGCCCCGGGCUCAACCUGGGAAUUGCAUUCGAGACUGCGUAGCUAGGGUGCGGAAGAGGGAAGCGGAAUUUCCGGUGUAGCGGUGAAAUGCGUAGAUAUCGGAAGGAACACCAGUGGCGAAAGCGGCUUCCUGGUCCAGCACCGACGUUCAGGCACGAAAGCGUGGGGAGCAAACAGG
RNAcentral lists this ribosomal RNA (253 nucleotides) under uncultured bacterium. RNAcentral's name for it is "partial 16S ribosomal RNA". It matches the Rfam family "Bacterial small subunit ribosomal RNA", at positions 524 to 776 of the family's 1533-position model. The record is from RNAcentral.